RNAcentral lists this ribosomal RNA (253 nucleotides) under uncultured bacterium. Its description in RNAcentral is "partial 16S ribosomal RNA". It matches the Rfam family "Bacterial small subunit ribosomal RNA", at positions 524 to 776 of the family's 1533-position model. The record is from RNAcentral.
UACGUAGGGUGCAAGCCUUAAUCGGAAUUAUUGGGCGUAAAGGGCGCGUAGGCGGACUUGUAAGUCAGAUGUGAAAUUCCGGGGCUCAACCUCGGAGCUGCAUUUGAAACUGUGAGUCUAGAGGGUUGACGGAGAAAACGGAAUUCCACGUGUAGCGGUGAAAUGCGUAGAUAUCAGGAGGAACACCGGUGGCGAAGGCGGGACUCUGGGCCGAUACUGACGCUGAGGAGCGAAAGCGUGGGGAGCAAACAGG